GCCGCCGCCGCUCCACCUCCUGGUGCCUUCGCGAGCUCCCUGCUAUCGCGCCCGAUUUACCCGCUCGUGUGUGGCAUGGGCGAUCCAAGGUCAGUGUUACUGCUGUAGCGGGCGUGCAGCGGCACCUUCGAGGAGUGCGGCAUGGAAGAGGACGAGGAGAUGGGGUCGACUGCUCGUACGGCGCCGCCCUAUCUUCCCCGUCCGCCGCUGAACGAAGGAACCAGGGAGGAGAGUCUUCCGUGCCCGUCGUUCUGAGCAUGGCCGCCGAACUGGCGAUGCCACAUCCCGAAGCCGAAGCAUGACCGCCAAGCUGUCGCGCCGCCUCACCAGGUUUUUGCUACUAUCCCCUAGAUUCAAUGGUCAAGAGGAACAGUACAACAAGGUACCGGUGCAAGGCCAUAAAAAGAAUAGAAAUAGACUGUCCAUCCUGUUUACUAGAAGAAUUUGGGAAGAGAGUACCGAUCUUUGGGAGGAGUGGCGGCGAUACAGGAAACACGAUCUAACCAAUUUUUCAGUUGGUUGGGCCACCUGGUACAUGCUGGUCAGUUUGCUCUCUGGCUCAAGAUGUGGAGCUCAAUUUUGUCCAAAUAUAGUUCAAGAUACACUAGCAACUGGGAUACAAGGAACUUGAGAUGAACAGGAGCAACACAUAAUAUGAACUUGCAGUUAUUGGUACUAGAAAUAGUAACGAAAUGAUGAGUAUGUAAAAUUUUGUCAGCAC
Molecule: long non-coding RNA, 721 nt
Organism: Lolium perenne
Lineage: Eukaryota; Viridiplantae; Streptophyta; Magnoliopsida; Poales; Poaceae
Source: RefSeq, a predicted model, not a curated record